CAAAUUAGAGCUUGAAAAUUAAGCAUUUCAUUUACAUUGAAAAGAUAAUAAAUAGUUAUUUAAUUUGA
RNAcentral lists this transfer RNA (68 nucleotides) under Rhyacionia leptotubula (pine tip moth). RNAcentral's name for it is "tRNA-Val". Lineage: Eukaryota; Metazoa; Arthropoda; Insecta; Lepidoptera; Tortricidae. The record is from RNAcentral.